Molecule: ribosomal RNA, 262 nt
Filed under: Streptococcus pneumoniae
Lineage: Bacteria; Bacillati; Bacillota; Bacilli; Lactobacillales; Streptococcaceae
Description: partial 16S ribosomal RNA
Rfam family: Bacterial small subunit ribosomal RNA
Source: RNAcentral
AGCGUUGUCCGGAUUUAUUGGGCGUAAAGCGAGCGCAGGCGGUUAGAUAAGUCUGAAGUUAAAGGCUGUGGCUUAACCAUAGUAGGCUUUGGAAACUGUUUAACUUGAGUGCAAGAGGGGAGAGUGGAAUUCCAUGUGUAGCGGUGAAAUGCGUAGAUAUAUGGAGGAACACCGGUGGCGAAAGCGGCUCUCUGGCUUGUAACUGACGCUGAGGCUCGAAAGCGUGGGGAGCAAACAGGAUUAGAUACCCUGGUAGUCCACG